RNAcentral lists this ribosomal RNA (497 nucleotides) under uncultured bacterium. RNAcentral's name for it is "partial 16S ribosomal RNA". It matches the Rfam family "Bacterial small subunit ribosomal RNA", at positions 28 to 507 of the family's 1533-position model. The record is from RNAcentral.
GAUGAACGCUGGCGGCGUGCCUAAUGCAUGCAAGUCGAGCGAACAGAUAAGGAGCUUGCUCCUUUGACGUUAGCGGCGGACGUGUGAGUAACACGUGGGUAACCUACCUAUAAGACUGGAAUAACUCCGGGAAACCGGGGCUAAUGCCGGAUAACAUUUAGAACCGCAUGGUUCUAAAGUGAAAGAUGGUUUUGCUAUCACUUAUAGAUGGACCCGCGCCGUAUUAGCUAGUUGGUAAGGUAACGGCUUACCAAGGCAACGAUACGUAGCCGACCUGAGAGGGUGAUCGGCCACACUGGAACUGAGACACGGUCCAGACUCCUACGGGAGGCAGCAGUAGGGAAUCUUCCGCAAUGGGCGAAAGCCUGACGGAGCAACGCCGCGUGAGUGAUGAAGGUCUUCGGAUCGUAAAACUCUGUUAUUAGGGAAGAACAAAUGUGUAAGUAACUGUGCACGUCUUGACGGUACCUAAUCAGAAAGCCACGGCUAACUACGUG